CCUACGGGGGGCAGCAGUGGGGAAUAUUGCGCAAUGGGCGAAAGCCUGACGCAGCGACGCCGCGUGAGGGAUGAAGGUCUUCGGAUCGUAAACCUCUGUCAGCAGGGAAGAACGGUCACUGUGCUAAUCAGCAGUGAAUUGACGGUACCUGCAAAGGAAGCACCGGCUAACUCCGUGCCAGCAGCCGCGGUAAUACGGAGGGUGCGAGCGUUAAGCGGAAUUACUGGGCGUAAAGCGCUCGUAGGCGGUAUGUCAAGUCAAGGGUGAAAUCCCCGCGCUCAACGUGGGAACUGCCUUUGAAACUGGCAAACUGGAGUGUGUGAGAGGAUAGUGGAAUUCCAGGUGUAGGAGUGAAAGCCGUAGAUAUCUGGAGGAACAUCAGUGGCGAAGGCGACUAUCUGGCACAUAACUGACGCUGAGGAGCGAAAGCGUGGGUAGCAAACAGGAUUAGAUACCCUAGUAGUC
This 465-nucleotide ribosomal RNA is filed under the name uncultured bacterium. RNAcentral describes it as "partial 16S ribosomal RNA". It matches the Rfam family "Bacterial small subunit ribosomal RNA", at positions 338 to 795 of the family's 1533-position model. The record is from RNAcentral.